Molecule: ribosomal RNA, 962 nt
Filed under: Scopulariopsis brevicaulis (arsenic fungus)
Lineage: Eukaryota; Fungi; Ascomycota; Sordariomycetes; Microascales; Microascaceae
Description: eukaryotic LSU rRNA
Rfam family: Eukaryotic large subunit ribosomal RNA
Source: RNAcentral
CUCAAAUUUGAAAUCUGGUCCCCUUUGGGGGCCCGAGUUGUAAUUUGAAGAGGAUGCUUUUGGCGAGGCGCCGUCCGAGUUCCCUGGAACGGGACGCCGCAGAGGGUGAGAGCCCCGUACGGUCGGACGCCGAGCCUCUGUAAAGCUCCUUCGACGAGUCGAGUAGUUUGGGAAUGCUGCUCAAAAUGGGAGGUAAACCCCUUCUAAAGCUAAAUACUGGCCAGAGGACCGAUAGCGCACAAGUAGAGUGAUCGAAAGAUGAAAAGCACUUUGAAAAGAGAGUUAAAAAGCACGUGAAAUUGUUAAAAGGGAAGCGCUUGCGACCAGACUUGCGCCCGUCGGAUCAACCGUCGCUUGCGGCGGCGCACUCCGGCGGGCUCAGGCCAGCAUCAGUUCGUCCGGGGGGAGAAAGGCGGCGGGAAUGUGGCUCUUCGGAGUGUUAUAGCCCGCCGUGUAAUACCCUCGGGUGGACUGAGGACCGCGCGUAUGCAAGGAUGCUGGCGUAAUGGUCGUCAGCGACCCGUCUUGAAACACGGACCAAGGAGUCGUCCUAAUAUGCGAGUGUACGGGUGUCAAACCCCUGCGCGUAAUGAAAGUGAACGGAGGUGAGAGCUUCGGCGCAUCAUCGACCGAUCCUGAUGUUCUCGGAUGGAUUUGAGUAAGAGCAUAUUGGGCCGGACCCGAAAGAAGGUGAACUAUGCCUGUGUAGGGUAAAGCCAGAGGAAACUCUGGUGGAGGCUCGCAGCGGUUCUGACGUGCAAAUCGAUCGUCAAACAUGGGCAUGGGGGCGAAAGACUAAUCGAACCUUCUAGUAGCCUGGUUUCCGCCGAAGUUUCCCUCAGGAUAGCAGUGCUUGAAUUUCUCAGUUUUAUGAGGUAAAGCGAAUGAUUAGGGACUCGGGGGCGCUUUUUAGCCUUCAUCCAUUCUCAAACUUUAAAUAUGUAAGAAGCCCUUGUUACUUC